UACGUAGGGUGCAAGCGUUGUCCGGAAUUAUUGGGCGUAAAGGGCUCGUAGGCGGUCCAUCGCGUCGGGAGUGAAAAGCUGGGGCUUAACCCCAGUCCUGCUUCCGAUACGGGUGGACUAGAGGUAGGUAGGGGAGAUCGGAAUUCCUGGUGUAGCGGUGAAAUGCGCAGAUAUCAGGAGGAACACCGGUGGCGAAGGCGGAUCUCUGGGCCAGUAUUGACGCUGAGGAGCGAAAGCGUGGGGAGCGAACAGG
RNAcentral lists this ribosomal RNA (253 nucleotides) under uncultured bacterium. RNAcentral's name for it is "partial 16S ribosomal RNA". It matches the Rfam family "Bacterial small subunit ribosomal RNA", at positions 524 to 776 of the family's 1533-position model. The record is from RNAcentral.